GUUGAGCUCAAUGCUGUUAAUAGCCGGUUGUCUCAUGGCUAAAACUUAUCAUAGCUAUUUACAAGAAGACAAAAAUUCAUCAGGAGUUUCAUUUUCUCAUGGAAGUGACAAAACUUGUGUAACAUGCAUUUUUUUUAUUGGUGCAAUGGUUUUCUGUUUCCUUGCAUUCAUAUUUUGUGCAUCAGAUGCUCACGAUUACUACGUGUUGCUCAGACAUCAAACACCCACUACGACUGAGGCACCAGUGACAUCUGCUAAAUAACCAGUUGAAACUGUACUUUUGUAAGCAGUGGUUUCACUAUUUUACAACUGUAUUUUUGUCAUAAUUUUGUCGAAACAAAGAUUGGUUUAUAUAAUCAUAGAUGCACACUGAAUAUACAGUGGAGUUAAGAAUUUUAAUAGUUUUCUAUUUUAUGUAACGGUAGUUUCAGCAUGCUUUUUCUUAAAAUAAAAUUUGAAAACUAU
Molecule: long non-coding RNA, 465 nt
Organism: Xenia sp. Carnegie-2017
Lineage: Eukaryota; Metazoa; Cnidaria; Anthozoa; Malacalcyonacea; Xeniidae
Exons: 2
Source: RefSeq, a predicted model, not a curated record